GGAGGAAUAUUGGGCAAUGGACGAAAGUCUGACCCAGCAACGCCGCGUGAAGGAUGAAGGCCUUCGGGUCGUAAACUUCUUUUGAGGGAGACGAGAAAGGACGGUAUCCCUCGAAUAAGCCACGGCUAACUACGUGCCAGCAGCCGCGGUAAAACGUAGGUGGCGAGCGUUAUCCGGAUUCAUUGGGCGUAAAGAGCUUGUAGGUGGUGCGAUAAGUUGGACGUGAAAACUCCGGGCUUAACUUGGAGAGGCCGUUCAAUACUGUUGUGCUAGAGGGCGUCAGAGGGAAGUGGAAUUCCUGGUGUAGCAGUGAAAUGCGUAGAUAUCAGAAGGAACAUCCGUGGCGAAGGCGGCUUCCUGGGGCGCACCUGACACUGAGAAGCGAAAGCUAGGGGAGCAAACGGGAUUAGAAACCCCGGUAGUCCUAGCUGUAAACGAUGGAUGCUAGGUGUGAGUGGAUCUAACCCCGCUCGUGCCGAAGCUAACGCGUUAAGCAUCCCGCCUGGGAACUACGAGCGCAAGCUU
This 525-nucleotide ribosomal RNA is filed under the name uncultured bacterium. Its description in RNAcentral is "partial 16S ribosomal RNA". It matches the Rfam family "Bacterial small subunit ribosomal RNA", at positions 355 to 895 of the family's 1533-position model. The record is from RNAcentral.